AACGAACGCUGGCGGCAUGCCUAAUACAUGCAAGUCGAACGAGCCCUUCGGGCCUUGUCUCGCUCGGCUGUGUAACGUGUGGGAACCUGCCCUUAGGAUCGGAAUAACUACCCGAAUGGGGUGCUAAUAUCGGAUAUUGUCUCCGGACCUAAGAUGUAUCGCCUUUGGUUGUUCCCGCGUUGGAUUAGCUAGUUGGUAGGGUAAAAGCCUACCAAGGCGCCGAUGCAUAGCUGGUAUGAGAGGAUGAUCAACCACCCUGAGGCUGAGACACGGCCCGGACUCCUACGGAAGGCAGAAAGGCGGAAUGUUGAACAACGGGUGAAAGAAUGAGGCAUCAAGGCCGCAAGAGUGUGGAAGGCCUUAAGGAUGGAAAGCUCAUUUACCCGGGAAGAUAAUGACAGUACCGGAAGAAAAAGCGACGGCUAACUCCGUG
RNAcentral lists this ribosomal RNA (433 nucleotides) under uncultured bacterium. RNAcentral describes it as "partial 16S ribosomal RNA". It matches the Rfam family "Bacterial small subunit ribosomal RNA", at positions 29 to 507 of the family's 1533-position model. The record is from RNAcentral.